CCUGGGAGAUGACUUGAAGCUGUUGGUGCAGUGGUAACAUUUGCAGGCUCUGAAAGGGGGAGGAGCUGAUUUAAGGAGAGGGAAGACUUACUUUGUGGUGCCGGUGGGUUACCCCGUUCCAGCCUGUCUGCCCUCUUAAGUUCACAGUGUGCCUGCGUCGGGAAGGGCAGACUGUGUACCAGCAAGUCCUGUCCCUGGAGCGCCCAACUGUCCUCCGCAGCUGGAACUGGGGCCUGUGUGGGUACUUUGCUUUCUACCAUGCCCUCUAUCCCCGAGCCUGGACUGUCUAUCAGCUUCCUGGCCAGAAUGUCACCCUCACCUGCCGUCAGAUCACACCCAUCUUGCCUCAUGACUACCAGGACAGCAGCCUGCCUGUAGGAGUCUUUGUGUGGGAUGUGGAAAAUGAAGGGGACGAAGCUCUAGAUGUGUCCAUCAUGUUCUCCAUGCGGAAUGGACUGGGGGGUGGAGACGAUGCCCCAGGGGGUUUGUGGAAUGAGCCCUUCUGUCUGGAGCGUGGCAGGGAAACUGUCCAGGGGCUGCUGCUGCAUCAUCCAACCCUUCCAAACCCCUACACGAUGGCUGUAGCUGCACGAGUCACGGCAGAUACCACGGUAACCCACAUCACAGCCUUUGACCCUGACAGCACGGGGCAGCAGGUGUGGCAGGAUCUACUUCAGGAUGGACAGCUGGACUCUCCCACUGGCCAAAGCACCCCUACGCAGAAAGGAGUAGGCAUUGCUGGAGCUGUGUGUAUUUCCAGCAAGUUGCGACCUCGAGGCCAGUGCCGCCUGGAGUUUUCACUGGCUUGGGACAUGCCCAGGAUCAUGUUUGGAGCUAAAGGCCAAGUCCACUACAGGCGGUAUACAAGGUUCUUUGGCCAGGAUGGAGAUGCAGCACCUGCCCUCAGCCACUAUGCACUGUGCCGAUACGCAGAGUGGGAAGAGAGGAUCUCAGCUUGGCAGAGCCCAGUAUUGGAUGACAGAUCACUGCCUGCCUGGUACAAAUCUGCACUGUUCAAUGAACUAUACUUCCUGGCUGAUGGAGGCACAGUAUGGUUGGAAGUUCUUGAGGACUCCCUACCGGAGGAGCUGGGCAGAAACAUGUGUCACCUCCGCCCCACCCUACGGGACUACGGUCGAUUUGGCUACCUUGAGGGCCAAGAGUACCGCAUGUACAACACAUAUGAUGUCCACUUUUAUGCAUCCUUUGCCCUCAUCAUGCUCUGGCCCAAACUUGAGCUCAGCCUACAGUAUGACAUGGCUCUGGCCACUCUCAGGGAGGACCUGACACGGCGACGGUACCUGAUGAGUGGGGUGAUGGCACCUGUGAAAAGGAGGAACGUCAUCCCCCAUGAUAUUGGGGACCCAGAUGAUGAACCAUGGCUCCGCGUCAAUGCAUAUUUAAUCCACGAUACUGCUGAUUGGAAGGACCUGAACCUGAAGUUUGUGCUGCAGGUUUAUCGGGACUAUUACCUGACGGGUGAUCAAAACUUCCUGAAGGACAUGUGGCCUGUGUGUCUAGCUGUGAUGGAGUCUGAAAUGAAGUUUGACAAGGACCAUGAUGGACUCAUUGAAAAUGGAGGCUACGCAGACCAGACCUAUGAUGGAUGGGUGACCACAGGCCCCAGUGCUUACUGUGGAGGGCUGUGGCUGGCAGCUGUGGCUGUGAUGGUCCAGAUGGCUGCUCUGUGUGGGGCACAGGACAUCCAGGAUAAGUUUUCUUCCAUCCUCAGCCGGGGCCAAGAAGCCUAUGAGAGACUGCUGUGGAAUGGUGAGUUCGGGGAGCCUAAGUAGUCUUAAGGCAGCUGAGAGGACACCAGGAGCCUUAUUUUUCUCUUCCUUGACUCCAGGCCGCUAUUACAACUAUGACAGCAGCUCUCGGCCUCAGUCUCGUAGUGUUAUGUCUGACCAGUGUGCUGGACAGUGGUUCCUGAAGGCCUGUGGCCUAGGAGAAGGAGACACUGAGGUGUUUCCUACCCCACAUGUGGUCCGUG
This 1993-nucleotide small RNA is filed under the name Pongo abelii (Sumatran orangutan). RNAcentral describes it as "processed transcript". Lineage: Eukaryota; Metazoa; Chordata; Mammalia; Primates; Hominidae. The record is from RNAcentral.